CCUGGUGAUUAUUGCGGAGCGCCCCCACCCGAUCCCAUUCCGAACUCGGUCGUGAAAGGCUCCAGCGCCGAUGGUACUGCAUCUUACGGUGUGGGAGAGUAGGUCGUUGCCAGGC
RNAcentral lists this ribosomal RNA (115 nucleotides) under Hyphomicrobiaceae bacterium. The record is from RNAcentral. Lineage: Bacteria; Pseudomonadati; Pseudomonadota; Alphaproteobacteria; Hyphomicrobiales; Hyphomicrobiaceae.